Hyposmocoma kahamanoa is the source of this 149-nucleotide long non-coding RNA. RefSeq lists it as uncharacterized. The record is from RefSeq and is a predicted model, not a curated record. The transcript has 3 exons. NCBI's taxonomy places the organism in Eukaryota, Metazoa, Arthropoda, Insecta, Lepidoptera, Cosmopterigidae.
ACACUAAACAAUAGGGUGAUGGGCGCAGUGGCAGUGCACCACAGAUCUUUGCGAUUUAAAGCUCUGAUUGGCACUGCAACUGCCAUGGACAGGCGUAUCGCUUACCACCGACUCGGUGUCGUCAAUUUUGAUUUCAGACAGAAAGACAG